GAUGAACGCUGGCGGCGUGCCUAAUACAUGCAAGUCGAGCGAACAGAUGAGGAGCUUGCUCCUCUGACGUUAGCGGCGGACGGGUGAGUAACACGUGGAUAACCUACCUAUAAGACUGGGAUAACUUCGGGAAACCGGAGCUAAUACCGGAUAAUAUAUUGAACCGCAUGGUUCAAUAGUGAAAGACGGUUUUGCUGUCACUUAUAGAUGGAUCCGCGCCGCAUUAGCUAGUUGGUAAGGUAACGGCUUACCAAGGCGACGAUGCGUAGCCGACCUGAGAGGGUGAUCGGCCACACUGGAACUGAGACACGGUCCAGACUCCUACGGGAGGCAGCAGUAGGGAAUCUGCCGCAAUGGGCGAAAGCCUGACGGAGCAACGCCGCGUGAGUGAUGAAGGUCUUCGGAUCGUAAAACUCUGUUAUUAGGGAAGAACAAAUGUGUAAGUAACUAUGCACGUCUUGACGGUACCUAAUCAGAAAGCCACGGCUAACUACGUG
This 497-nucleotide ribosomal RNA is filed under the name uncultured bacterium. RNAcentral's name for it is "partial 16S ribosomal RNA". It matches the Rfam family "Bacterial small subunit ribosomal RNA", at positions 28 to 507 of the family's 1533-position model. The record is from RNAcentral.